RNAcentral lists this ribosomal RNA (497 nucleotides) under uncultured bacterium. Its description in RNAcentral is "partial 16S ribosomal RNA". It matches the Rfam family "Bacterial small subunit ribosomal RNA", at positions 28 to 507 of the family's 1533-position model. The record is from RNAcentral.
GAUGAACGCUGGCGGCGUGCCUAAUACAUGCAAGUCGAGCGAACAGAUGAGGAGCUUGCUCCUCUGACGUUAGCGGCGGACGGGUGAGUAACACGUGGAUAACCUACCUAUAAGACUGGGAUAACUUCGGGAAACCGGAGCUAAUACCGGAUAAUAUAUUGAACCGCAUGGUUCAAUAGUGAAAGACGGUUUUGCUGUCACUUAUAGAUGGAUCCGCGCCGCAUUAGCUAGUUGGUAAGGUAACGGCUUACCAAGGCAACGAUGCGUAGCCGAACUGAGAGGGUGAUCGGCCACACUGGAACUGAGACACGGUCCAGACUCCUACGGGAGGCAGCAGUAGGGAAUCUUACGCAAUGGGCGAAAGCCUGACGGAGCAACGCCGCGUGAGUGAUGAAGGUCUUCGGAUCGUAAAACUCUGUUAUUAGGGAAGAACAAAUGUGUAAGUAACUAUGCACGUCUUGACGGUACCUAAUCAGAAAGCCACGGCUAACUACGUG